GUGAACGCUGGCGGUAGGCCUAACCCAUGCCAGUCGUACGGCAGCACAGUAAGAGCUUGCUCUUACGGGUGGCGAGUGGCGGACGGGUGAGGAAUACAUCGGAAUCUACUUUUUCGUGGGGGAUAACGUAGGGAAACUUACGCUAAUACCGCAUACGACCUACGGGUGAAAGCAGGGGAUCUUCGGACCUUGCGCGAUUGAAUGAGCCGAUGUCGGAUUAGCUAGUUGGCGGGGUAAAGGCCCACCAAGGCGACGAUCCGUAGCUGGUCGGAGAGGAUGAUCAGCCACACUGGAACUGAGACACGGUCCAGACUCCUACGGGAGGCAGCAGUGGGGAAUAUUGGACAAUGGGCGCAAGCCUGAUCCAGACAUACCGCGUGGGUGAAGAAGGCCUUCGGGUUGUAAAGCCCUUUUGUUGGGAAAGAAAAGCAGCAGGUUAAUACCCCGCUGUUCUGACGGUACCCAAAGAAUAAGCACCGGCUAACUUCGUG
Molecule: ribosomal RNA, 491 nt
Filed under: uncultured bacterium
Lineage: Bacteria
Description: partial 16S ribosomal RNA
Rfam family: Bacterial small subunit ribosomal RNA
Source: RNAcentral